RNAcentral lists this ribosomal RNA (467 nucleotides) under uncultured bacterium. Its description in RNAcentral is "partial 16S ribosomal RNA". It matches the Rfam family "Bacterial small subunit ribosomal RNA", at positions 28 to 506 of the family's 1533-position model. The record is from RNAcentral.
GACGAACGCUGGCGGCGUGCUUAACACAUGCAAGUCGAACGGAAAGGCCCUGCUCUUGUGGGGUUCUCGAUUGGCGAACGGGUGAGUAACACGUGAGUAACCUGCCCUUGACUGUGUGAUAACUUCAGGGAACUGGGGCUAAUACCGGAUAGGAGCUCCUGCUGCAUGGUGGUGGUUGGAAAGUUUCGGCGGUUGAGGAUGUACUCGCGGCUUAUCAGCUUGUUGGUGGGGUAGUGGCUUACCAAGGCUUUGACGGGUAGCCGGCCUGAGAGGGUGACCGGCCCCAUAGGCACAGGGAUGCGGCCCGGACGCAUACGGGAGGCAGGAGUGGGGACUAUAGCAAGAAGCGCCGAAGCAUGAAGGAGGAACGCCGCGUGCGAGAUGACGGCUUUUGGGUAGGAAAACGCUUUCGACUGUCACGAAGCGUGAGGGAGGGAAAUGAGCAAAGAAGCACCAGCUAACUACGG